RNAcentral lists this ribosomal RNA (406 nucleotides) under uncultured bacterium. RNAcentral describes it as "bacterial SSU rRNA". It matches the Rfam family "Bacterial small subunit ribosomal RNA", at positions 29 to 433 of the family's 1533-position model. The record is from RNAcentral.
AUUGAACGCUGGCGGCAUGCUUUACACAUGCAAGUCGAACGGCAGCGGGGGCUUCGGCCUGCCGGCGAGUGGCGAACGGGUGAGUAAUGCAUCGGAACGUGCCCAAGUCGUGGGGGAUAACGUAUCGAAAGGUACGCUAAUACCGCAUACGUCCUGAGGGAGAAAGCGGGGGAUCUUCGGACCUCGCGCGAUUGGAGCGGCCGAUGUCGGAUUAGCUAGUAGGUGAGGUAAAGGCUCACCUAGGCGACGAUCCGUAGCGGGUCUGAGAGGAUGAUCCGCCACACUGGGACUGAGACACGGCCCAGACUCCUACGGGAGGCAGCAGUGAGGAAUAUUGGACAAUGGGCGAGAGCCUGAUCCAGCCAUGCCGCGUGCAGGAAGAACGGCCCUAUGGGUUGUAAACUGC